RNAcentral lists this long non-coding RNA (1467 nucleotides) under Heterocephalus glaber (naked mole-rat). Its description in RNAcentral is "lncRNA (ENSHGLG00000043913.1)". Lineage: Eukaryota; Metazoa; Chordata; Mammalia; Rodentia; Bathyergidae. The record is from RNAcentral.
UCCCUUGUAUUUGCUGGUUUUUACAGACACAAUUUCUGUAUAGUUUAGGCUCUAUGAACAAUUUCUACUAUGUACAAUGACAACAAAGCAAUAAAAGAAAAGAACUGGGCACCACUAGUGGAUAUGAAAAACAAAGGGUCAUCAGUCAGGUGUGGGCCAGAAACCAACCCUUGUUGACAGGAGUAAAGUUAUUUACCAACUGGGUCUUGGACAUGCCCUGGGCACCAGAAGGCUGGCUGCGUGUCUAGGAAGUGCAGCAGGCCAGGCUCUGCUAUGCCAGUUCCAAGCAGCAGCCAUCUCUUCCAUGAGCCACAGAUGUUCCUUGGUCCUUAUUCAUCUUGCCAUACUCAUGGGAUAUUGAGAGCUGAAACUGAGGACCCCAAAUGACCUCAUUUUCAUUUGAAGUCUCUUACUUCAUAUUUUACCCUGUCAUUCUAAAGAUCUACUACACCAAUCAGUAGCUAUAAAUGCUCACACAUUGCAGGCUGCCAGACCCCAGAGCCAGUCUGAGGCCCUGAUUUUGAUCUCCGUGGUGGUGGCAAUGCUCAGAGAAGGGUCUUUAAGCCCAGACUGUGGCACUGGUUUCAGGCAUGCUGAAUAACCUCCAAGCAGAAUGCUCUCAACAAACAGUGUUACAAGUGGGUUGAGCUACCCAUCUGUAAUAAGACUACAAUGUGUACACAUAAACAAUUUGUAUUACAAAAGUCAACACCCAAACCAACUACAACAAUAACAGAUCAAACCUCUCGAAAUCCAGAAAGGUAUUUUAAAGUGUUUAAAUAUAAUUAUACAAGGAAAAAUAAGCCUUGGCUAAAUAACAAAUUCAAACAACCUUAUUUUCGUAUUUUUAUGACCAAAGAAUUGACCUUUGCUGGCUUUAUUUACUACAUGAACUUCAGUACUUCCCCCUUGAUUUCUAAGAAUAUUAAAGAACUUUAUGAAGUAGAAAAUGUACAAAGAAGGCACUGUUUUGGCACUAGUGAAAAGGACAAUUUCACUCACCCCACCAAAAAUCACACUAAUCACAUGACUUCAUGUUUUCUAAUAAUCCAUCAUGCACACUCUAAAUCCAAUCCUUUGCAGGCCUGUGGAAAUUAUACUUUUGGUGUUGAAUGUUACUUGAUUCCUAUCAGGAGAAAUCAUGGAUAACAACCACUACAAGGGAGGGUGAGCCAGACAGAAUCUCGGGACAAUCUAUCAUGUAUUUUGAAAUCUCAUGAUAUGCCCAAAUUUAAAAGAGAAAAUAAGGCUCAGGUGCUCCCUCUGUUGUCAUUAGCACUGGAGGAUAAUUACUUCUCCUUAUUCUCCCUGUUAAGUGCUCAAAUAAAUUUAGAAAACAAUUCUGUAAAAAACAGGCUCUAAGUCAAAGUGUUUUAUUAAAAACAUUUUUUGAAGAACUACUUGCAAAUACGUAGGACUUAGAAAACAUUUUGGCUAACAUUUAAAAUAAGAGAUAGUUUUAAAAAU